UAAUUAUUAAUAUAAUUUGAAUUUGAAAUGUGGUAGGAAGGGAGGAGCAGCACUGCCUCAGAUACCCAAACCCUACAUUAGAGUCAAGGAUGAGAAGAUGACAGUGUUGAUGGUGAAGAAGUACCUGCUCACAAAGCUGGGUCUCUCCAAUCAAGCUGAGGUUGAAUUAUGGUGCAUGGGAGAGAGACUGUUGCAUACUCAAUCACUAAAGCAAGUGAGAGAUGGAAUUUGGCUGCCUAAGUUGGUGGAGUUUGUUAAUUCAAACUCAUCAUUAUCAAAUUCUUCAAUAUUAUUUCAUCCACAAAAUCAAAAAACUCCUUUUUCUUCUUCUAAUACUUAUCUCAUGUCUUUGCAUUAUGGAAGAGCAAGAUUCUUCUAACUAAAUAUAUAUGUAUGUAUGAAUCUAUACACAA
This is a long non-coding RNA of Cucumis sativus (cucumber), 413 nucleotides long. RefSeq lists it as uncharacterized. The record is from RefSeq and is a predicted model, not a curated record. Lineage: Eukaryota; Viridiplantae; Streptophyta; Magnoliopsida; Cucurbitales; Cucurbitaceae. The transcript has 3 exons.